Non-coding RNA from Bombyx mori (domestic silkworm), 84 nucleotides. The record is from Rfam. Lineage: Eukaryota; Metazoa; Arthropoda; Insecta; Lepidoptera; Bombycidae.
UUAAGUCAAAUUUGUAUGGAGUUGGAACUCUUGCCUACGUUUUCCGUUAGGGGCGCUGUUCCAACUGCAUACAAAUUCGAGUUA